Suricata suricatta (meerkat) is the source of this 103-nucleotide small nuclear RNA. The record is from Ensembl. NCBI's taxonomy places the organism in Eukaryota, Metazoa, Chordata, Mammalia, Carnivora, Herpestidae.
CAGCUUCAGCAGCAUAUAGACGAAAACUGGAAUGGGACAGAGAAGAUUAGUGUGAGUUCUGCACAAGGAUGGCAUGCAGAUUUGUGAAGUGUUCCACAUUAUA